UACGAGGGAUGCAAGCGUUAUCCGGAAUUAUUGGGCGUAAAGCGUCCGCAGGUGGCUCUGUAAGUCUGUCGUUAAAGAAUGGGGCUCAACCCCAUACAGGCGAUGGAAACUACAAGGCUAGAGUUUGGUAGGGGUCACGGGAAUUCUUAGUGUAGCGGUGAAAUGCGUAGAUAUUAAGAAGAACACCAGCGGCGAAAGCGCGUGACUGGGCCAGUACUGACACUCAUGGACGAAAGCUAGGGGAGCGAAAGGG
This 253-nucleotide ribosomal RNA is filed under the name uncultured bacterium. RNAcentral's name for it is "partial 16S ribosomal RNA". It matches the Rfam family "Bacterial small subunit ribosomal RNA", at positions 524 to 776 of the family's 1533-position model. The record is from RNAcentral.